Molecule: ribosomal RNA, 226 nt
Filed under: Aphrodes hamiltoni
Lineage: Eukaryota; Metazoa; Arthropoda; Insecta; Hemiptera; Cicadellidae
Description: partial 16S ribosomal RNA
Source: RNAcentral
CCUAUGAUAAGUAUUAAAUGGCUGCAGUAUUUUAACUGUACAAAGGUAGCAUAAUAAAUAGUUUCUUAAUUGGGNGCUUGUAUGAAAGGGUUUAUGAAUUAUAAUUUUUAUUUUAUUUAUUUUUAGAAUUUUAUUUCUAAGUAAAAAAGCUUAGUUUUUUUUUUGGGACNAAAAGACCCUAUAGAACUUAAUUAAUUUANNNAUUUAUUAUUUAUUUUUUGUUUAA